UGGGGAAUAUUGGACAAUGGGGGCAACCCUGAUCCAGCAAUGCCGCGUGUGUGAAGAAGGUCUUCGGAUUGUAAAGCACUUUCGACGGGGACGAUGAUGACGGUACCCGUAGAAGAAGCCCCGGCUAACUUCGUGCCAGCAGCCGCGGUAAUACGAAGGGGGCUAGCGUUGCUCGGAAUGACUGGGCGUAAAGGGCGUGUAGGCGGUUUACACAGUCAGAUGUGAAAUCCCCGGGCUUAACCUGGGAGCUGCAUUUGAUACGUGUAGACUAGAGUGUGAGAGAGGGUUGUGGAAUUCCCAGUGUAGAGGUGAAAUUCGUAGAUAUUGGGAAGAAC
This 335-nucleotide ribosomal RNA is filed under the name uncultured bacterium. RNAcentral describes it as "partial 16S ribosomal RNA". It matches the Rfam family "Bacterial small subunit ribosomal RNA", at positions 355 to 707 of the family's 1533-position model. The record is from RNAcentral.